GCCCAGAUGGCGGAAUUGGUAGACGCGCUAGCUUCAGGUGCUAGUAUCCGUAAGGAUGUGGAGGUUCAAGUCCUCUUCUGGGCACCA
RNAcentral lists this transfer RNA (87 nucleotides) under Cobetia marina. RNAcentral describes it as "tRNA-Leu". It matches the Rfam family "tRNA". From Rfam's summary of the family: Transfer RNA (tRNA) molecules are approximately 80 nucleotides in length. Their secondary structure includes four short double-helical elements and three loops (D, anti-codon, and T loops). The record is from RNAcentral. Lineage: Bacteria; Pseudomonadati; Pseudomonadota; Gammaproteobacteria; Oceanospirillales; Halomonadaceae. RNAcentral also lists the same sequence under 32 other names.